Long non-coding RNA from Canis lupus familiaris (dog), 433 nucleotides. RefSeq lists it as uncharacterized. The transcript has 4 exons. Lineage: Eukaryota; Metazoa; Chordata; Mammalia; Carnivora; Canidae. The record is from RefSeq and is a predicted model, not a curated record.
GAACUUUCCAUGAAAACAAUAGCCUGUGGUGAAACAGCUUGUCAUGGAUACUAAUGAAAAAUUGCCCGAGACAUCCUGAUGCGUUUCCUCCUGCAUUCAUUCUGCCCUUAAGGUCUGGGAAUUCACUGAACACAAAAAAUCUUAUUUUGCAGAACACAGGGAGAUUAACGUAAAUUCUGAAGUUCCCUGGUUUCCUUCGGGACACACCCAGAAAGAUUUAUCACCUUGACAAACGAUUGUGUGGAAAUUUCAGAACCUUGAAGAGGACGAUGCAUAAAAUGAUUAUAUCUGAAACUAUUUACCAUAGGCUCUGAAACAAAAUAUUUUAUAAUCUUUUUUUUUACCAAAUUCCAAAAUUAAAACUAUCGCAAAGCAAUGGCACAGUGCUUCCUGGAUUCAGUCUACCUUCUGGGAUUCAAGGAGGAGAAUGAAG